GACGAACGCUGGCGGCGUGCCUAAUACAUGCAAGUUGAGCGCUGGAGCUUGGUGCUUGUUCCUACUGGGUGAGCAGCGGACGGGUGAGUAACGCGUGGGGAAUCUGCCUUUAAGCGGGGGACAACAUUUGGAAACGAAUGCUAAUACCGCAUAAAAACUUUAAACACAAGUUUUAAGUUUGAAAGAUGCACUUGCAUCACUCAAAGAUGAUCCCGCGUUGUAUUAGCUAGUUGGUAAGGUAAAGGCUCACAAAGGCAAUGAUACAUAGCCGCCCUGAGAGGGUGUUCGCCACAUUGGGACUGGGACAAGGCCCAAACCUCCAAGGGAGGGAGCAGGAGGGGAUCUUUGGGAAUUGAGGAAAGGCCGAACGAGCAACGCCGGGGUAGUGAAGAAGGGUUUCGGGUCGGAAAACUCUUUUGGUAGGGAAGAAAGUUGGUGGGAGUGGAAAGCGCAUAAAGUGACGGUAACUAACCAGAAAGGGACGGCUAACUACGUG
This 496-nucleotide ribosomal RNA is filed under the name uncultured bacterium. RNAcentral's name for it is "partial 16S ribosomal RNA". It matches the Rfam family "Bacterial small subunit ribosomal RNA", at positions 28 to 507 of the family's 1533-position model. The record is from RNAcentral.